CCUACGGGUGGCAGCAGAAGGGAAUCUUCCACAAUGGGCGAAAGCCUGAUGGAGCAACGCCGCGUGGGUGAAGAAGGUCUUCGGAUCGUAAAACCCUGUUGUUAGAGAAGAAAGUGCGUGCGAGUAACUGUUCACGUUUCGACGUUAUCUAACCAGAAAGCCCCGGCUAACUACGUGCCAGCAGCCGCGGUAAUACGUCGGUGGCAAGCGUUAUCCGGAUUUAUUUGGCGUAAAUGGAACGCAGGCGGGCUGUUAAGUCUGAUGUGAAAGCCUUCGGCUUAACCGGAGUAGUGCAUUGGAAACUGGGAGACUUGAGUGCAGAAGAGGAGAGUGGAACUCCAGGUGUAGCGGUGAAAUGCGUAGAGAUAAGGAAGAACACUAGUGGCGAAAGCGGCUCGCUGGGCUGUAACUGACGCUGAGGUGCGAAAGCGUGGGUAGCAAACAGGAUUAGAUACCCGAGUAGUC
This 465-nucleotide ribosomal RNA is filed under the name uncultured bacterium. Its description in RNAcentral is "partial 16S ribosomal RNA". It matches the Rfam family "Bacterial small subunit ribosomal RNA", at positions 338 to 795 of the family's 1533-position model. The record is from RNAcentral.